This 464-nucleotide ribosomal RNA is filed under the name uncultured bacterium. RNAcentral's name for it is "partial 16S ribosomal RNA". It matches the Rfam family "Bacterial small subunit ribosomal RNA", at positions 28 to 507 of the family's 1533-position model. The record is from RNAcentral.
GACGAAUGCUGGCGGCGUGCUUAACACAUGCAAGUCGAACGGAAAGGCCCUGCUUGCAGGGUACUCGAGUGGCGAACGGGUGAGUAACACGUGGGCGAUCUGCCCUGCACUUCGGGAUAAGCCUGGGAAACUGGGUCUAAUACCGGAUAGGAGCCAUUUUUAGUGUGAUGGUUGGAAAGUUUUUUCGGUGUAGGUUGAGCUCGCGGCCUAUCAGCUUGUUGGUGGGGUAAUGGCCUACCAAGGCGGCGACGGGUAGCCGGCCUGAGAGGGUGGACGGCCACAUUGGGACUGAGAGACGGCCCAGACUGCUACGGGAGGCAGCAGUGGGGAGUAUUGCACAAUGGGCGCAAGCCUGAUGCAGCGACGCCGCGUGGGGGAUGACGGCCUUCGGGUUGUAAACUACUUUCGCUAGGGACGAAGCUUUUGUGACGGUACCUAGAUAAGAAGCACCGGCUAACUACGUG